This is a long non-coding RNA of Asparagus officinalis (garden asparagus), 355 nucleotides long. RefSeq lists it as uncharacterized. The transcript has 3 exons. The record is from RefSeq and is a predicted model, not a curated record. Lineage: Eukaryota; Viridiplantae; Streptophyta; Magnoliopsida; Asparagales; Asparagaceae.
AGAAUCAUUAAUGACUCAGUACCAAGGUACUUAGUUAAGAUUCUCGUGGAAAAUGGCACGGAUAAUGCAAGAGUAACACUCUUUGACGCAGCAGAAACUCUUAUUGGAUGCAAAGCAGAAACAUUCAUUACAGAAAAGAAAGAGAAAAAUAAUCAGAGUCCAUAUUUCCAAAAAUUUGUUUUGAACAUCGGAAAAACAUUCAAAUUCCUGGUGAAGUUAGAUGAAAAGACAAAAGAUGAACGAGGCGAAGGCAAUAUAAUAGCACAAGAAAUUCAACUCCAGUCUGAUAUUACAAUCGACGUAGAUGAUGAAGAUGCUACUCUAGAGUUGCCCAGAAAAAAGAUAAAGGUGGAGA